CAAGCACAUGAUGCAUGAGAUGAAUAUGAGCAUGCAUCACUAUUUCUAUCACUAUCACAAGCAAAAGAAGCUAAUACAUGUUCCUGGACAGAACUGUAACUUAAGCUAUUCUGUCAUGCAUGAGAAUGACAUGAUCAGAUGCGUCUCGAGAAAACGAUGCAAAUGCAUAUAAAGAACUCUACAAACGGAGCUACGGAUCAACGGGAAUCAAAGAAACAAGAUAUGAAGACCUACGUAUCAAAAUCAUCACCACACACCCAAUUGGCACAACCCUGGUGUUUCCAGGUUGGCAAGACAUAUAACAACCCAACAUGCAUGGAUUGGAGCAAGGAAGAACACCACAUCACCAACUAAGCACUCACAAAUAUCAAAAUGACAAAACUACACAAUCUGCCAUAAUCUGCAUCUUAGCACUUUGUGAGCUACAUGCAACAUAGCUACAGCCCUCCAAAUAUGACAAAUAAUAUAUGUGGCUGUGGCCAACCAAGAAUACUACAAGCACAAGCAAUAAUCACACAAAAAGGAAUUAAUCACAUGAAGAUACAAGGCUGCAAACUUUCCCAAAACCAUCAGAUUUCAGGGACUGAAAAUUCCUGCACCUGAGUCUCUAUCUUUGUUCUGAAGCUUUUUGACAGAUGCCAAAACAUAACCUACAGGAUUGAAA
This 664-nucleotide long non-coding RNA is filed under the name Hordeum vulgare. RNAcentral describes it as "long non-coding RNA (HVUL_LNC021488)". Lineage: Eukaryota; Viridiplantae; Streptophyta; Magnoliopsida; Poales; Poaceae. The record is from RNAcentral.